GACGUAGGUGGCGAACGUUAUCCGGAAUUAUUGGGCGUAAAGGGUGCGUAGAUGGCCUGAUAAGUUAGCAGUGGGAAAUCGAGGCUCAACCUCGUGGAAGCUGGUAAUACUGUCAGGCUCGAGUGCAGGAGAGGUUAACGGAACUCCAUGUGGAGCGGUGAAAUGUGUAGAUAUAUGGAAGAACACCAAGAACGGCGAAGGCAGUUAACUAUUCUGUUACUGACAUUGAGGCACGAAAGCGUGGGGAGCAAAACGG
Molecule: ribosomal RNA, 256 nt
Filed under: uncultured bacterium
Lineage: Bacteria
Description: partial 16S ribosomal RNA
Rfam family: Bacterial small subunit ribosomal RNA
Source: RNAcentral